CUCUUGUGAGCAUUCGUGUGUGCAGGGCCCUGUUGAGCGAAUCAUAAGCGGCGGAUGGCGGCAUUAUAACCCAAUAGCUCGUUCGUGUAUUCUGGCUUUUAAAUUUUCUUUGAAAGGCGCGUGCGUAUACUACACUUACAACGCAACAUAGUAAUAGUAGAACGUAGUAAAAGAGGAGAAGUAGUAGUAAAGUCGAGCGUAGUAGUAGUAAAAAGCGGCGCGCGCAGCUUACUCCAAGUGCUUCCAACAGUUUCGAACGACGCAGCACAGCAGUACGGCACAACAGGCAACAUCGCCCGACGCAGGAAGAGAGAAAGAAACGCCGCGGCCUGCGAGUUGCGAUAGAGAAUCGAGCAGCGAAGAGAAGGUAGUUCUCCCAAAGGAGUCUCUCGCCAGUGCUAUCUAACAACAGCGAGCUCAACGUUUCGCGUAUUAUUGUGUACAUACUUAACGUAUACGCCUAUACGUCCCAACAUAUAUAUGCGACUCAUAUAUGUGUAGACGAGAGUUUGCCUCGUGUGUUCUUCAGGCCGACUCUUUUUAACAAUCCCCUGGUUCGGAUACUUUGAUCAGGUACACAAUUGCAACGCAUCGGCCUUUCGAUGUAUUUACUUUAAAGAAUUAGUGCGGAGGCGUGAAUCAAGAGGUUGCUUGAAGCAAUGAGUCUAAUCAUCAAUUCUUCUCCUUUAGCAGGUACCCAAAAACCCAAUGUCGGCUGGAAAAGAAAAGCUGCAACGACGGAUGAUGAAGACGAAACAAGGGGAGAAACAAAAAAAUCUAAAUACCAAUGGUAUUUUACGCUGGAAAGUGAAUCUUCAAACCCUACAGAUGAAGACGCAGAAUCAGUUUAUACUGUUCAAGGAGAUGAAACAGAAUAUGUACAAGACACAUCAGACAUAUCAGACACAUCUACAGACGCAUACAUGAGCGGUGGUGAAAAUGAUCAUGAUGUUUCCAUUCAUGUGGAAUUUGAAAUAGAUUCUGAACCCAAUAAUAGUAUUAAUAAUUCUUCUGCUUCUUCAGAGCCUGAGAACUUUCUUGCAAAUUAUGUUUCAUAUUCUGAGACUGAGGGGAUGGCAGAUGACAGUGACAUUUCUAGAUCUUCGUUGGAUAGUGAAGUCUCUCACUAUAUCUUCAAACUUUGCUUGCAGUGCAAAACUUUAAAUACUAAUCCUCUAUUUCGUUAUUGUCAAAAAUGUUAUCAGACAAAGAAAAGUCAACAUCCGCGAAUAAACCCGAGGAGGAUGAGCAAAUCUCAAAGUCAACUAAGCCAACUGAGCCAACUAAGCCAACUGAGCCAAUCGAGCAGUCAGCCUUCAGAAAGGCAACAGUUACAAUCCCAAUCGCUGACGCAAAUCCAACGACAAUUGAGCGAAGCGUCAACAGUCGUUUUGGGAAAUUCGCAAGAGCUAGGCUCAAUGGACUCGGGUAUUGCAACGAGCCAAUGCGAUUUAGACUCGGGUAUUGCAUCAGGGUCGAGCCAAGAAGUUGAGGUGUUGCUUGCUGGAAGUAGGACAUCCACAAGGAUAUCCCAACGCGAAGAAAUAGAUUCGGGCCAUGCACCUACCGAAGGUGAUUCGGAUCACUCUUAUUCGCAUAGCGAUGUCAGUACUGGUUUAAACCUGACCAAAGACAAGACAAGUGAGUUCCAAUCGUCUUCGAGCGAAAUUCGAACGCCACGCCAACCUAAGUCGCUAAUGCGACUACUUCAGCAGCGUCAUCGCCGCGACUUGGCUAAUAUCAGCGCCAGCAGUGGAAUAAGCAGUGGCAGCGGCAAUACCAGUGGCACUAUACCAAAGAAUUCAUCAUUAACAUCGUUCUCAGAGAGCGAGUUAACGAUAGCAUCGUCGACAGACAGCGGUCAGCAGAAGUGUCAUACUUGUGAUGAAAACCAAAGAGAUGCCGUUUUCGUCCACGGCAAAACAUGCCACAUAUUCUGCUGUUACACAUGCGCCAAAAAAUCGUGGGUCACCCAUAAUCGGCGCUGCCCAAUUUGCAAUCGUCAAGUCACACAAAUUCUCAAAGCAUUUUACUCGUACUUAAUACUUCUAGCUCGAUACAAGACUAGGCCGAAUGCAAGAAGAGCCCGUCGUUUGACUCGCAACGAGUUUUUACGAUCAUCUAUCUUCUUAGCGUCCUUAAAAUGAUUCGUCGUUGGAUUUAUGAAGCUCCCAAAAUAGCUUGUUAUAUACCUGAACGCAGUAACAUCUUAGAACACUUACCCCUGGUAAUAUGGAUUCUUUCCGUAGACUGUGGGAGAUCGCAGAGUGUUCACAAGCAUCAUUAUAUUUGCCGCUAAUGACGAUUAUAUUGUUAUUAAUCAAGAUCAUCAACUACAUCUACUUCUAAUUGAGUGAACAGCCUUAUUCAUUUUUUGGCUGCAAUCACAUGCUUACGUUGGUCUCUUUUACAAGUAAGCAAGUGUAAUAGUUGAAAGUUAUCAACUUGAAUAUAUAUAAAUAAACGAUUCAACAUAUUUUUAUAUUGUUAAUUAA
RNAcentral lists this unclassified non-coding RNA (2495 nucleotides) under Trichogramma pretiosum. Its description in RNAcentral is "uncharacterized LOC106648424, transcript variant X3". Lineage: Eukaryota; Metazoa; Arthropoda; Insecta; Hymenoptera; Trichogrammatidae. The record is from RNAcentral.